Molecule: ribosomal RNA, 1495 nt
Filed under: Mycobacterium gordonae
Lineage: Bacteria; Bacillati; Actinomycetota; Actinomycetes; Mycobacteriales; Mycobacteriaceae
Description: bacterial SSU rRNA
Rfam family: Bacterial small subunit ribosomal RNA
Source: RNAcentral
UAGAGUUUGAUCCUGGCUCAGGACGAACGCUGGCGGCGUGCUUAACACAUGCAAGUCGAACGGUAAGGCCCUUCGGGGUACACGAGUGGCGAACGGGUGAGUAACACGUGGGUAAUCUGCCCUGCACAUCGGGAUAAGCCUGGGAAACUGGGUCUAAUACCGAAUAGGACCACAGAACACAUGUCCUGUGGUGGAAAGCUUUUGCGGUGUGGGAUGGGCCCGCGGCCUAUCAGCUUGUUGGUGGGGUGAUGGCCCACCAAGGCGACGACGGGUAGCCGGCCUGAGAGGGUGUCCGGCCACACUGGGACUGAGAUACGGCCCAGACUCCUACGGGAGGCAGCAGUGGGGAAUAUUGCACAAUGGGCGAAAGCCUGAUGCAGNGACGCCGCGUGGGGGAUGACGGCCUUCGGGUUGUAAACCUCUUUCACCAUCGACGAAGGUUCGGGUUUUCUCGGAUUGACGGUAGGUGGAGAAGAAGCACCGGCCAACUACGUGCCAGCAGCCGCGGUAAUACGUAGGGUGCGAGCGUUGUCCGGAAUUACUGGGCGUAAAGAGCUCGUAGGUGGUUUGUCGCGUUGUUCGUGAAAUCUCACGGCUUAACUGUGAGCGUGCGGGCGAUACGGGCAGACUUGAGUACUGCAGGGGAGACUGGAAUUCCUGGUGUAGCGGUGGAAUGCGCAGAUAUCAGGAGGAACACCGGUGGCGAAGGCGGGUCUCUGGGCAGUAACUGACGCUGAGGAGCGAAAGCGUGGGGAGCGAACAGGAUUAGAUACCCUGGUAGUCCACGCCGUAAACGGUGGGUACUAGGUGUGGGUUUCCUUCCUUGGGAUCCGUGCCGUAGCUAACGCAUUAAGUACCCCGCCUGGGGAGUACGGCCGCAAGGCUAAAACUCAAAGAAAUUGACGGGGGCCCGCACAAGCGGCGGAGCAUGUGGAUUAAUUNGAUGCAACGCGAAGAACCUUACCUGGGUUUGACAUGCACAGGACGCCGGCAGAGAUGUCGGUUCCCUUGUGGCCUGUGUGCAGGUGGUGCAUGGCUGUCGUCAGCUCGUGUCGUGAGAUGUUGGGUUAAGUCCCGCAACGAGCGCAACCCUUGUNUCAUGUUGCCAGCGGGUAAUGCCGGGGACUCGUGAGAGACUGCCGGGGUCAACUNGGAGGAAGGUGGGGAUGACGUCAAGUCAUCAUGCCCCUUAUGUCCAGGGCUUCACACAUGCUACAAUGGCCGGUACAAAYGGCUGCGAUGCCGCGAGGUUAAGCGAAUCCUUUUAAAGCCGGUCUCAGUURGGAUCGGGGUCUGCAACUCGACCCCGUGAAGUNGGAGUCGCUAGUAAUCGCAGAUCAGCAACGCUGCGGUGAAUACGUUCCCGGGCCUUGUACKCKCCGCCCGUCKCGUCAUGAAAGUCGGUAACACCCGAAGCCAGUGGCCUAACCCUUUGGGAGGGAGCUGUCGAAGGUGGGAUCGGCGAUUGGGACGAAGUCGUAACAAGGUAGCCGUA